CGUGUAGGCGGGUGCGUAAGUCCGAUGUGAAAGCCCUCGGCUCAACCGGGGAAUGCCAUUGGAUACUGCGUACCUGGAGUGCGGGAGGGGAGAGUGGAACUCUUGGUGGAGCGGUGAAAUGCGUAGAUAUCAAGAGGAACGCCGGUGGCGAAAGCGACUCUCUGGCCCGUGACUGACGCUGAGGCGCGAAAGCCAGGGUAGCGAACG
This 207-nucleotide ribosomal RNA is filed under the name uncultured bacterium. RNAcentral describes it as "partial 16S ribosomal RNA". It matches the Rfam family "Bacterial small subunit ribosomal RNA", at positions 568 to 774 of the family's 1533-position model. The record is from RNAcentral.